UCUUGAACCAUAACUAACGAAACGAAAAUCUAUCAGUUUUAAUAUAAUGGCCUCGAGACGUGCAGGGAACAUGUAUUUAUCUAAAUGUUGUUUUUGUGUUCCUCUGAGAACCGGACUUUUAAUGUUAGCGGUCUUUAAAAUCCUGGGUUUUUUAAGCUAUACGACGUUCAAUAUCUUUUUUGAUGACACGAAUCUCUCGGAUAUGGUUUCAAUCAUUAAUAUAAUUAUAAUGCUACUUGAUGUGUUCUUUUCAUCAGUACUGAUUUUGGGUAUUUAUAAGAGUAACGCCUCAGUGGUUCAAGUUUGUUACGCGUUGUCUGCUACGAUAUUGAUGUUGGAGCUGGUCAAGUGUGUAGUAUAUAUCACACUGGAGACGUACAUAUUACUCUCUGGUUCCCGACAGGAUGUUUCGAGGAGAUUGCUGACAUUAAACACAUAUUCGCUGUUCUAUAUUGCACUACAAUCAUAUAUCGUCAUAUUGAUACGUGGUCAUUUGUUCAGCAUGAGGGAACAUUGCAUCUCCGACCCUGACACGUCAGCAUACAGACCAAGGAAACCCCAUAUAGCUUACUGAUGAUAUUUAAUAUCAGCCUUAAAUCAAAAAAGAGGCCAGAAUGCCGAAAUAUACAAUUGCGAAAAUAUGUACACGAUAGAAUGUUGUAUUUGAAGUUAUUUUCUUUCCAAAAUGGCUAUUUAUUUAUUUACUUAAGCAAACUUUACAGCAUUUCUAUUCUACAUGUUAAAACUAUUGACUAUAUACAUGUAUUGUCUUUAAAAAAUAUUGGCAGGUUUAAUUAUAAUGAAAUAAAAACGAUGGUAAAUAAAUGGUAAUUAUAUAAAAAAAAGAAGAAGAACUUCUGAGUAAUGUGUGCAUGUGAUAAAUAAUUAUUAAAUAGAUAUGCGUAAACAAAAUAUCUGAUUCCGCCUGUUUAUAAGUCAUUGAGUACAAAUUACAGUAUGUUUUUGUUCAAUGCAUGUUCAUGCAUAUAGAAAAAAUGGACUUAAAACAAGGUGCAGCCUCAGAUAAUUUUUACAUCUAGAUAGAGUCUCUUACAGUUAGACAAUCGAUAAAAACAGGCCAGAUCAUCCCCACCAUCUGGAUGUGUGGCGGUCCUCUCGGUUAGUUCUAAACUCAAUUUUUUUUCGACUUUUUCGAGGCUGUCAUAGUCUAUCUAGACGUAUUAAUGACCUAAGCAUGCGCCCAAUGUACGGAAGAGGGCCCAUGAUGCAGUUAGAGAGGAGACCGCUCACUUUGAUCCAAAUAAUCUGAAACUUGCUGAAGUACCGGAUCUACGCAUUGAUUUUUGAAGGGCCGCCGAAAUAGAUCAAUCACCAAGUAAGAUAUAAAAUACCCAAAGGAAAACAAGGAUUAUUAUGCCUAAGAAUUGUUCGGUUCAGUUGAAUUAUUAAUAUAUUUUAGUACAUAUAAUUAACUCAAUAACCGCCAUGCA
Molecule: long non-coding RNA, 1451 nt
Organism: Leptidea sinapis
Lineage: Eukaryota; Metazoa; Arthropoda; Insecta; Lepidoptera; Pieridae
Exons: 4
Source: RefSeq, a predicted model, not a curated record